This 362-nucleotide long non-coding RNA is filed under the name Pogona vitticeps (central bearded dragon). Its description in RNAcentral is "lncRNA (ENSPVIG00000014836.1)". Lineage: Eukaryota; Metazoa; Chordata; Lepidosauria; Squamata; Agamidae. The record is from RNAcentral.
CCUUUGAAUGUUCCAGGCCGUUAAUUCUGUGUUCAAUGAGGUCUUGUGAUUUGUCUCUUUGCAUUAGUAAGUCAGUGCCUAUAUUUCUCCUUUUUGUCUUUUAAAAAUAAUAAAUAGUGUGCUGCUGAAAUUCUGCCUCAACUGUUCUCUCUGCCGACCUGCAGUACAAAGGACACCAAGAAAAAGCAAAAUAUGGUGAGGUUGCAGCUUUCAGCGAUACACUAGGAUUGUUCUGAACGAAAGACCAGCCAUCCUUCAGGAAUGGGGUGGCCAUAUAUUCUCUUUUAGAGGUGAUGAUCUUCUCUUUGAAGCACGGUUCUCCUUAGUGAGAUGCUUCACUGUUUCUCACAGACAACAGUCUG